CAGUCGCCGCGGGAAAACGUAGGUGGCAAGCGUUGUCCGGAAUUAUUGGGCGUAAAGGGCUCGCAGGCGGUUUCUUAAGUCUGAUGUGAAAGCCCCCGGCUCAACCGGGGAGGGUCAUUGGAAACUGGGAAACUUGAGUGCAGAAGAGGAGAGUGGAAUUCCACGUGUAGCGGUGAAAUGCGUAGAGAUGUGGAGGAACACCAGUGGCGAAGGCGACUCUCUGGUCUGUAACUGACGCUGAGGAGCGAAAGCGUGGGGAGCGAACAGGAUUAGAUACCCGCGUAGUCCCUGUCUCUUAUAC
Molecule: ribosomal RNA, 301 nt
Filed under: uncultured bacterium
Lineage: Bacteria
Description: partial 16S ribosomal RNA
Rfam family: Bacterial small subunit ribosomal RNA
Source: RNAcentral